This 465-nucleotide ribosomal RNA is filed under the name uncultured bacterium. RNAcentral describes it as "partial 16S ribosomal RNA". It matches the Rfam family "Bacterial small subunit ribosomal RNA", at positions 338 to 795 of the family's 1533-position model. The record is from RNAcentral.
CCUACGGGAGGCAGCAGUAGGGAAUUUUCGUCAAUGGGCGCAAGCCUGAACGAGCAAUGCCGCGUGAACGAGGAAGGUCUUCGGAUCGUAAAGUUCUGUUGAAGGGGAAAAAGAGCGGAGAGAGGAAAUGCUUUCUGAUUGAUAUUACCCUUCGAGGAAGUCACGGCUAACUACGUGCCAGCAGCCGCGGUAAUACGUAGGUGGCGAGCGUUAUCCGGAAUGAUGGGGCGUAAAGGGUGCGUAGGCGGCCUGCUAAGUCUGGAGUGAAAGGUACCGGCUCAACCGGUACAGGCUCUGGAAACUGGCGGGCUAGAGAGCAGGAGAGGGCGGUGGAACUCCAUGUGUAGCGGUAAAAUGCGUAGAUAUAUGGAAGAACAUCAGUGGCGAAGGCGGCCGCCUGGCCUGUUAACUGACGCUGAGGCACGAAAGCGUGGGGAGCAAAUAGGAUUAGAUACCCCUGUAGUC